This is a long non-coding RNA of Diabrotica virgifera virgifera (western corn rootworm), 753 nucleotides long. RefSeq lists it as uncharacterized. NCBI's taxonomy places the organism in Eukaryota, Metazoa, Arthropoda, Insecta, Coleoptera, Chrysomelidae. The record is from RefSeq and is a predicted model, not a curated record. The transcript is spliced from 2 exons.
CCGAUCAGACUUCGAUCAAGAUGUGCAUAUAUUAUCACAAAUUAUAUUUUGGAUUAUUCUAAAGAUUACAUCAGUUUGUGGAACAUCGUAUGGACUUAAUUUUCCGAUUCCUUGUUGGAGAUUAUAGAAUCUAGUUUCUGUGAAAGCCUUCGUUAGCCAUACAUUUUUUGCACGAAGAAAAAAACCACGUGUUUCCACCGCAUAGAUUUUCCAGAAUUUUGUAUACAGGCUGUGAAUUAUAUGUAUUUUAAAUAUUAGUUGGAGACCUUUGUCCGCUGAAGUCGGAUAUUUAUUCCGAUUUGAUGUUUGCCGAAAUGCAGUAAUGAAGUUGUUGGAUGCAACUUUUUCUAUUGGUUGUUUGUAAGAAUGUUGAUGGUGUGAAGACGUUCAAGUUUUGGAACUAAAGGUUAGUGAAAUUAUUUACAUCACUACUUUCGCGUAGAAAAGACUAUUCUUUUGUUUGUUUUUUUAUUUGAGAGACACUUCAACAUCUCACUAGUCAAUCUGUUCCUAAGAUAGAUAAUAUUUUAUUACUUCAUUAAAGUCAUAAUAAAAUUAUUAUUCAACAGUUUUAUUUUAAAAUAAUGUAAAGAGCUCUUAGGGAAUUUAGGUACUUUAGUUGAAACCUCUUCGAGGUGACUUUUUAGCAAGUGUUUUUCUCUUUCAUUUCAAACAUUGUAACGAUAUACUUAUUAUAUUGAUGUUUAUAAUAAAUAAUAUUUGUUUUGGUAAUAAAGUUAUAUGUAUUUACUA